Molecule: long non-coding RNA, 1094 nt
Organism: Oncorhynchus tshawytscha (Chinook salmon)
Lineage: Eukaryota; Metazoa; Chordata; Actinopteri; Salmoniformes; Salmonidae
Source: Ensembl
GUGUGUAUUGGGGGGGGUCUAAGUAAAUGAGGCAGCAGUGGCGACAUUGGGAUUGGUCGUCAUCUCGGUUUUUCAUUUCCAACCGGAAUUGUCAUUCUUCAUUGUCUUUCUUCGUCUCUCGCAGGACCGUCUUUCUGUGCUUAUGUGACCCGGCAAGAUAACCACAUCCAACACUUCAGUAAGGAACCGGUUGUGUAAGAAGAUUGAGUUUCAUUUUGCUGGGCCAUUGUGUAGCCCUGAAAGGACUCCAUGGAGCUGAAAUAAUCUCUAUCUGUCCUGAAUCCUUCUCUGCUCCCUGUCUGAGGUCAAACCAUGUGUGACAGAGCCAAGAACUAUGAAGGUCGUAGAUAGUAGAUAGUAGGUCGUAGAUAGUAGAUAGUAGGUAGUAGGUAAUAGAUAGUAGGUAGUAGAUAGUAAAUAGUAGAUAGUAGAUAGUAGGUAGUAGGUAGUAGGUAGUAGAUAGUAGAUAGUAGGUAAUAGAUAGUAGGUAGUAGAUAGUAAAUAGUAGAUAGUAGAUAGUAGGUAGUAGGUAGUAGGUAGUAGAUAGUAGAUAGUAGAUAGUAGAUAGUAGAUAGUAGAUAGUAGGUAGUAGGUAGUAGAUAGUAGAUAGUAAAUAGUAGAUAGUAGGUAGUAGGUAGUAGAUAGUAGGUAGUAGAUAGUAGAUAGUAGGUAGUAGGUAGCAGGUAGUAUCUACUACCUACUAUCCAGUUGUGUGGAUUGCGUCAUCUGUUGAUCUGUUGGGACGGUUUGCAAAUUGAAGUGGGUCUAGGGUAUCCGGGAGGAAGCUGUUGAUGUGAGCCAUGGCCAGCCUUUCAAAGCACUUCAUGGCUACCAAAGUGAGGGCUACGGGUGGUUUAGGCAGGUUACCUUCGCUUCCUUGGGCACAGGGACUAUGGUGGUCUGCUUGAAACAUGUAGGUAAUAUAGACUCGGGCAGGGACAGGUUGAAAAUGUCAGUGAAGACACUUGCCAGUUGGUCAGCACAUGCUUUGAGUACACGUCCUAGUGAUCGGUCUGGACCCACAGCUUUGAAUGUUGACCUGUUUAAAGGUCUUGCUCACAUCGGCUUCAGAGAGCGUUAUCACACAGUCGUCC